Cynoglossus semilaevis (tongue sole) is the source of this 2749-nucleotide long non-coding RNA. RefSeq lists it as uncharacterized. The record is from RefSeq and is a predicted model, not a curated record. Lineage: Eukaryota; Metazoa; Chordata; Actinopteri; Pleuronectiformes; Cynoglossidae. The transcript has 7 exons.
CCACGUGUGCCCGAUGACGUCACCCGGAGUCCCCCCUCGUCUCAGGUAGGCCUGGCCUGAAAUGUUUGGUGCCGAAUUUUCUGCAGAUUUCUUGGUCUGGCGGCAGUCGCAGCCAGUCUCAGCAGUCAUCCAGCGAUGAUGGGGUUCCACGAGGCCAGUCGGGCUGGGAGCUCAGCAGUAAUCCUCGCUACAGAAGGGGGGCGCUGCAGAUAACGUUCGGGAGCCUCUGCUGUAAGAUAACUGACCUGGAGGAAAAAUACAGCACGACCCAAAAAUACAGCCUCACGAACAUGGGGGAAAAAAAACCAUGUUGUCGGACAGAGAUGGAUUUGACCUGGAGCCUUUUAGAAGAAACACAGGAGCGUUGGGUUCACGGAGGAAAACGGUGAACGGCCAGUAAUAAAGGACCGGUGACAGUGAGCUGUGAGAUGGGAGCGACAGGAGACUCAUUAUCUGUCAGGGCAAAUAUGCGGACGACAUCCCCACUGACCCCUCUGAUGGCAGAUCCUGCUGAGACGGAGCAUUGACACAAAAACACACAAAGCGACGGCCAAUCACACGGAAGGAAAAGACGAGACUAGAGGCAGAGGAGGGAACUGUCACAAAGCUAAAAGUAGAAAGUGACUGGAGAUCGGAGCGUCUCACCGGGAGCUGAUGGAACAACUGAACAGCUGAUUAGUCAACACGAUAGCAAACUGUUCGAUAUUUGAUAAUACGAUAUUAUCCUACACCACACCCUGACCCUGAAGUGGACAUCAACUCUCUUUGACCAAAUGCUGACCUUUCACCGUGGAGAGGGGUAAUUAUAACAGUGACAGCCUGACAGUCAUAGGCUGUUAAUUCUAAGGACUUGACACGUGCAGCGUGAGAGAGAAAAGUCGAUACAAAAUCAAUACAGGAGACACAGUGACUGUGGUUACAACAAAGUCAUCUUAGAGUCGGGGCUGUCAAUAAUUUCAUUCAGAAACAGUUUUUCCUAAUUGACAUUUGUAAUAUAAGACCAUGAUCUAGCCCCGUGUUGGGUCAUUCUUUUGGCCUUACAGUAGUGUAGUAGGCGGUUUGAUUCCCACUGGUUAUGCAUGAUUAUUUUGUAUAGAUAGACAGAUAGUAUAAUUAAAGACAAUCAUUUGUAACACAUUUAUCUACUGCACAGUUACUGUCGUGUAGAGUGCAGCAUAUAAAGGACGCCCAGAGGAGAGCUGCCUUUACUCCCGAAAAGUGAAUGUAACUCCAAUGUCAGAGGGCGUCCAUUAGGAAUAUAUACGAGCCUGAAUUAACUAGGCCUAAUGUGAGAGAAUGUCUGGGUUGUCGACCGUUUUUCUCGCAGGAUAAACAAUGCAAUGCACUGCUAGUCUCUUGGAGACCAUGUUCAGGUCAAAUGGAAUCCUGUGUUUAUUGCCUUAAUUUAUUCUGCUGGUUGCUUUGACUUUGUUUGCUCUUUUCCAGCAGUGGCCAAAUACACUUGUUCGCUAAAGUCACAUUACAUCUGAUCCGCUCCACUGAGGCAUCUGGAGGUCAAGCGCCUUAUUUAGAUGGCUGAUAAGGGAUGGGAACGGCCAACACAAACAUAAUGACAUGGGCGAUGGCAUCACAUGAAUUAGGGCAGCUGUGAUGGUGGUGGUUUAAAAAGCAGUGAGGGUGAGUUAAAUCUUUUCUUUUACUUUUUCAGUCUUCAUCUGUGGAUGGGUAGGAACUCUGUAAGACCCUUGUAGUCAGGGUAACUGUAAAUAUAAGGUUCUGUAUAACAUUCUCUUCCAAAUACAAUAUUUAAGUCAAAUCUCCAAGAGCUGAAAAGAUGUACUUAAAAUUCUGUUGUUUCAAAUAUUUUUGAACUCUCUGAAAGGUCAGCAAAAUUAAAAUUCAUCAGAGCAUUUAGCUCAGUGCUAGUGGAAAUGCAAAAAAAAAUAAUCUGCAGUUUUGCCAAUUUAGGUUAUAAAAUUAAAAAAGCGAAAGGAAAUCAACAAAAUGAUCUAAAAAUUGUAAAAGAAUUCACAAACAUUUGAUGCAACCCCUUCAAAAAACAAAAAAGAAAAAGAAAAAAAAUAUGACAUCCUCUAUCACGGUUGCACACCAAAAAAUCUUAAAUAAUAAAUAGUUCAUCAUGAAGUCGAUGUGAAAAAGACCUUCAGGCAGAAUAGGACAGGAGAACAAAAUGUCUCGCUUCUUUUUUAUAUUAAGAAAAAAAAAACCCAAAAGAUGGACUUAAUCAAAAUAAGUAUUCAUCAGAAGCGCGGCUACAGCUGGCUCACCUUUUCACACUUCUGUCUCUUCACAUUUCCUGAAAGUUUAUCUCUGUUUAAAUAAUAAAGUGUGCACGGCGCCAUGGGAGCAGAGGCAGAAGAAAUUUUAAUUUGAUGGUAAAAAUGUGUUAUUUCAGCUGUGACAAUAGUUCUCUGUCUGCCUGGGAUACACAGCAUACUUUAUACUUCUAGAACAUUCAGCUGUUCACACAAUGGUUUUUACUCUGAAAUAACGACAUGCUAAAAGUUGAGAGGAGGUUUUGACAAAGUGUUACGUAGGUUUUUUUUUUUUUCCCCAUGUAUGCGUCUAAAUGUCAGACAGGUUUAUAUUUUUAUAUGUCUCAGGUAUGUUGAAUAUUUACUGACACAUAUGCAUAUUUACAUCACUUCGUGUUACAUUUAUAACACACUUGGCUGUUAAUUAUAUAUUUUUUGUCAUUUUUGUAAUGUAGCAGUUGGUGAAAAAAAAUCUCUUUCUCUCUCUCUCUCUCUCUCUUUCUCUCAUUCUC